CCUACGGGGCGCAGCAGUGGGGAAUAUUGCACAAUGGGGGGAACCCUGAUGCAGCGACGCCGCGUGGGUGAAGAAGUCAUUCGUGACGUAAAGCCCUAUCAGCAGGGAAGAAAAUGACGGUACCUGACUAAGAAGCCCCGGCUAACUACGUGCCAGCAGCCGCGGUAAUACGUAGGGGGCAAGCGUUAUCCGGAUUUACUGGGUGUAAAGGGAGCGUAGACGGCAGGGCAAGUCUGGAGUGAAAGGCGGGGGCUCAACCCCCGGACUGCUCUGGAAACUGCCAGGCUGGAGUGCAGGAGAGGUAA
RNAcentral lists this ribosomal RNA (305 nucleotides) under uncultured bacterium. RNAcentral's name for it is "bacterial SSU rRNA". It matches the Rfam family "Bacterial small subunit ribosomal RNA", at positions 338 to 660 of the family's 1533-position model. The record is from RNAcentral.